Molecule: ribosomal RNA, 893 nt
Filed under: Escherichia coli
Lineage: Bacteria; Pseudomonadati; Pseudomonadota; Gammaproteobacteria; Enterobacterales; Enterobacteriaceae
Description: partial 23S ribosomal RNA
Rfam family: Bacterial large subunit ribosomal RNA
Source: RNAcentral
GGGAGCAGCCCAGAGCCUGAAUCAGUGUGUGUGUUAGUGGAAGGGUCUGGAAAGGCGCGCGAUACAGGGUGACAGCCCCGUACACAAAAAUACACAUACUGUGAGCUCGAUGAGUAGGGCGGGACACGUGGUAUCCUGUCUGAAUAUGGGGGGACCAUCCUCCAAGGCUAAAUACUCCUGACUGACCGAUAGUGAACCAGUACCGUGAGGGAAAGGCGAAAAGAACCCCGGCGAGGGGAGUGAAAAAGAACCUGAAACCGUGUACGUACAAGCAGUGGGAGCACAGAGCAAUCUGUGUGACUGCGUACCUUUUGUAUAAUGGGUCAGCGACUUAUAUUCUGUAGCAAGGUUAACCGAAUAGGGGAGCCGAAGGGAAACCGAGUCUUAACUGGGCGUUAAGUUGCAGGGUAUAGACCCGAAACCCGGUGAUCUAGCCAUGGGCAGGUUGAAGGUUGGGUAACACUAACUGGAGGACCGAACCGACUAAUGUUGAAAAAUUAGCGGAUGACUUGUGGCUGGGGGUGAAAGGCCAAUCAAACCGGGAGAUAGCUGGUUCUCCCCGAAAGCUAUUUAGGUAGCGCCUCGUGAAUUCAUCUCCGGGGGUAGAGCACUGUUUCGGCAAGGGGGUCAUCCCGACUUACCAACCCGAUGCAAACUGCGAAUACCGGAGAAUGUUAUCACGGGAGACACACGGCGGGUGCUAACGUCCGUCGUGAAGAGGGAAACAACCCAGACCGCCAGCUAAGGUCCCAAAGUCAUGGUUAAGUGGGAAACGAUGUGGGAAGGCCCAGACAGCCAGGAUGUUGGCUUAGAAGCAGCCAUCAUUUAAAGAAAGCGUAAUAGCUCACUGGUCGAGUCGGCCUGCGCGGAAGAUGUAACGGGGCUAAACCAUG